RNAcentral lists this ribosomal RNA (101 nucleotides) under Treponema sp. RNAcentral's name for it is "partial 23S ribosomal RNA". It matches the Rfam family "Bacterial large subunit ribosomal RNA", at positions 1 to 100 of the family's 2925-position model. Lineage: Bacteria; Pseudomonadati; Spirochaetota; Spirochaetia; Treponematales; Treponemataceae. The record is from RNAcentral.
GGUCAAGCGAGAAGAGGGUUUAUGGCGAAUGCCUGGGCGUGUCCGGGCGAAGAAGGCCGUGGCAAGCUGCGAAAAGCCGCGGGGAGGAGCAAACAUCCUGU